RNAcentral lists this long non-coding RNA (333 nucleotides) under Crocodylus porosus (Australian saltwater crocodile). RNAcentral describes it as "lncRNA (ENSCPRG00005002781.1)". Lineage: Eukaryota; Metazoa; Chordata; Crocodylia; Crocodylidae. The record is from RNAcentral.
AUGAAUCAUUUCUUGUUUUGCAGCUUCCCUUUCAAACUGGGUUUUCAAUGUUUUUGGCUGAGGACAGCAAACCUGAGGUCAGUGAUGGAGUGUCCAGGGAAGUUGAAGUGUUCCAUCAGCUCAGGCGAUGGAGCAGCUGCCAGGAGAUGUUGUUCUAUUUUAAAGGCCAGGGCAGGGACAGGAGGCAUGAAGACUCCAUCCAAAUUAAACAAGAAUCUCUCCAACCUGAACAGAGGGUUGACUGAUAAUAAUGACUAUCUUCCUGAACUUCUCAAGAUCUGCUCUUCCAAAGGCACACGCUCGUCUGAAAGCCUAGGGCAUCCCAGUUUAUGA